This 315-nucleotide ribosomal RNA is filed under the name uncultured bacterium. RNAcentral's name for it is "bacterial SSU rRNA". It matches the Rfam family "Bacterial small subunit ribosomal RNA", at positions 28 to 345 of the family's 1533-position model. The record is from RNAcentral.
GACGAACGCUGGCGGCGUGCUUAACACAUGCAAGUCGAACGGUAAGGCCCCUUCGGGGGUACACGAGUGGCGAACGGGUGAGUAACACGUGAGCAACCUGCCCUUGACUCUGGAAUAACAGUUGGAAACAGCUGCUAAUACUGGAUAUGCACUCAUCUCCUCCUGGGGGUGAGUGGAAAGCUCCGGCGGUCAGGGAUGGGCUCGCGGCCUAUCAGCUUGUGGUGAGGAAUGGCUCACCAAGGCUUCGACGGGUAGCCGGCCUGAGAGGGGCGACCGGCCACACUGGGACUGAGAUACGGCCCAGACUCCUACGGG